Long non-coding RNA from Mastomys coucha (southern multimammate mouse), 472 nucleotides. RefSeq lists it as uncharacterized. The transcript is spliced from 3 exons. NCBI's taxonomy places the organism in Eukaryota, Metazoa, Chordata, Mammalia, Rodentia, Muridae. The record is from RefSeq and is a predicted model, not a curated record.
AGGAAGUGGGCCAUUAGAGAGGUCAGACAUGAAGGAAUACAGCCCAGCUCCCCUUUCAGUCUGCUCUCUGCUUCUUGGUCCAGUCCAUCUAGGUGUCAAGAAAUAUAGAAGAAAUAUGGAAGACAUGAUCCUUGGCUUCCUUCCAGUUGUGAUUUUCUGAAGAGCAAUCCAGUGGAGACAAGAACAAAAAUAAUCAUGUCAAGUAAGCAGUACAUUUUAAGAGCAAAUACUUGUUAUGAUCCUACAAGCUACACAAAGAAAACAAAAAUGAACACUUCUCCAGGGAAGUUUGUCAGAAUCCCAAGAAACUUAAAACAAGAAGAGAUUGAAAAGCCUCAAAGAUUAAUCAAAAGUCAAACAUUCAUUUAAAGUUCUGAAAGCAGUUUAACAAUUUCAACUUCUAGUUUGGCUCAAAAACCUUGAGUGAAAGGUCUUAAUCAACUUUGUAAUAAAAGGUUUUUCUGUUAAUAAC